UAUAUUCGGUUCCGGUUCGCUUCUGGUUUUUGGUUAAUUCGGGUUAAACAGUCUGAAAAUUCGGAUAUUUUUGAAUAAAUAUCAGACAUUCGAGUUUUCGGAUAAAAAUUUGGAAAAUCGAAUAAUUUUAAACAUUUCUGAUAAUAAAUAUUUUAGUAAUUCUGCUUUGUUGCGUAUUUUGAUUUAUAAAGAAUAUUUUUAAAUUAUUUGAUUAUUUUGAAAACUAAAUAUAGUUAAUAUUUAUAAGUAUAUACUAUAUUAUAGAAUUUCGGAUACCUAUUCAGUUUUCAGUUUGAUUACAGUUCGGUUUUAAUUUUUCGGUUCUAAAGAUAUAAGAUCCGCUCGGAUAAUUUAUAAGAUUCAAACCCGAACCG
RNAcentral lists this long non-coding RNA (374 nucleotides) under Brassica napus (rape). Its description in RNAcentral is "long non-coding RNA (BNAP_LNC007358)". The record is from RNAcentral. Lineage: Eukaryota; Viridiplantae; Streptophyta; Magnoliopsida; Brassicales; Brassicaceae.